This 314-nucleotide ribosomal RNA is filed under the name uncultured bacterium. RNAcentral describes it as "partial 16S ribosomal RNA". The record is from RNAcentral.
UAUUACCGCGGCUGCUGGAAGCUCAAAUCGACAAGGAGCGCCGCCGUAAGACGCCGACGCACCCCGAGGAAUGGCAACAAAACUGGUUCAGCCUCUCGGUCGAGCAGUGGGAGAUUGAAACAGCACUUCGCGCUGGGCAAGUUAGAAAAUGCAAGCAAGAACUAUGCCUUUCGGGGGUUCUUGAGGAAGCCACCCAGACCUGGCCCCGCAAACGGCAAUUCGUUCGCGUGGACUUGGCCGCGCUGAGUCAGGUGCUGGUCAAUGUGCUGAGCGAACAGCGAGCCGCUGUCUCGUCGCCAGCAGCCGCGGUAAUA